GGUUAAGCGACUAAGCGUACACGGUGGAUGCCCUGGCAGUCAGAGGCGAUGAAGGGCGUGCUAAUCUGCGAUAAGCGCCGGUAAGGUGAUAUGAACCGUUAUAACCGGCGAUACCCGAAUGGGGAAACCCAGUGUGACUCGUCACACUAUCAUUAACUGAAUCCAUAGGUUAAUGAGGCGAACCGGGGGAACUGAAACAUCUAAGUACCCCGAGGAAAAGAAAUCAACCGAGAUUCCCCCAGUAGCGGCGAGCGAACGGGGAGGAGCCCAGAGCCUGAAUCAGCAUGUGUGUUAGUGGAAGCGUCUGGAAAGGCGCGCGAUACAGGGUGACAGCCCCGUACACAAAAGCGCAUGUGCUGUGAGCUCGAUGAGUAGGGCGGGACACGUGGUAUCCUGUCUGAAUAUGGGGGGACCAUCCUCCAAGGCUAAAUACUCCUGACUGACCGAUAGUGAACCAGUACCGUGAGGGAAAGGCGAAAAGAACCCCGGCGAGGGGAGUGAAAAAGAACCUGAAACCGUGUACGUACAAGCAGUGGGAGCCCCACCACUAAGCCAGUGGUGAACUCCACAUACGCAUCCUUUGCUGAGGAUGCGGUUAACGGAGCGAAAGCGACGUUCAACCGCAAAAGAAGCAGAGGGGGCUUAGUGGUGGGGUGACUGCGUACCUUUUGUAUAAUGGGUCAGCGACUUAUAUUCUGUAGCAAGGUUAACCGAAUAGGGGAGCCGGAGGGAAACCGAGUCUUAACCGGGCGUUAAGUUGCAGGGUAUAGACCCGAAACCCGGUGAUCUAGCCAUGGGCAGGUUGAAGGUUGGGUAACACUAACUGGAGGACCGAACCGACUAAUGUUGAAAAAUUAGCGGAUGACCUGUGGCUGGGGGUGAAAGGCCAAUCAAACCGGGAGAUAGCUGGUUCUCCCCGAAAGCUAUUUAGGUAGCGCCUCGUGAAUUCAUCUCCGGGGGUAGAGCACUGUUUCGGCUAGGGGGCCAUCCCGGCUUACCAACCCGAUGCAAACUGCGAAUACCGGAGAAUGUUAUCACGGGAGACACACGGCGGGUGCUAACGUCCGUCGUGAAGAGGGAAACAACCCAGACCGCCAGCUAAGGUCCCAAAGUCAUGGUUAAGUGGGAAACGAUGUGGGAAGGCCCAGACAGCCAGGAUGUUGGCUUAGAAGCAGCCAUCAUUUAAAGAAAGCGUAAUAGCUCACUGGUCGAGUCGGCCUGCGCGGAAGAUGUAACGGGGCUAAACCAUGCACCGAAGCUGCGGCAGCGACGCUGAUGCGUUGUUGGGUAGGGGAGCGUUCUGUAAGCCUGCGAAGGUGUGUCGUGAGGCAUGCUGGAGGUAUCAGAAGUGCGAAUGCUGACAUAAGUAACGAUAAAGCGGGUGAAAAGCCCGCUCGCCGGAAGACCAAGGGUUCCUGUCCAACGUUAAUCGGGGCAGGGUGAGUCGACCCCUAAGGCGAGGCCGAAAGGCGUAGUCGAUGGGAAACGGGUUAAUAUUCCCGUACUUGGUGUUACUGCGAAGGGGGGACGGAGAAGGCUAUGUUGGCCGGGCGACGGUUGUCCCGGUUUAAGCGUGUAGGUGUGUGUUCCAGGUAAAUCCGGUUCACUUUAACACUGAGGCGUGAUGACGAGGCACUACGGUGCUGAAGCAACAAAUGCCCUGCUUCCAGGAAAAGCCUCUAAGCAUCAGGUAACAUCAAAUCGUACCCCAAACCGACACAGGUGGUCAGGUAGAGAAUACCAAGGCGCUUGAGAGAACUCGGGUGAAGGAACUAGGCAAAAUGGUGCCGUAACUUCGGGAGAAGGCACGCUGACAUGUAGGUGAAGUGAUUUACUCAUGGAGCUGAAGUCAGUCGAAGAUACCAGCUGGCUGCAACUGUUUAUUAAAAACACAGCACUGUGCAAACACGAAAGUGGACGUAUACGGUGUGACGCCUGCCCGGUGCCGGAAGGUUAAUUGAUGGGGUCAGCGCAAGCGAAGCUCCUGAUCGAAGCCCCGGUAAACGGCGGCCGUAACUAUAACGGUCCUAAGGUAGCGAAAUUCCUUGUCGGGUAAGUUCCGACCUGCACGAAUGGCGUAAUGAUGGCCAGGCUGUCUCCACCCGAGACUCAGUGAAAUUGAACUCGCUGUGAAGAUGCAGUGUACCCGCGGCAAGACGGAAAGACCCCGUGAACCUUUACUAUAGCUUGACACUGAACAUUGAGCCUUGAUGUGUAGGAUAGGUGGGAGGCUUUGAAGUGUGGACGCCAGUCUGCAUGGAGCCGACCUUGAAAUACCACCCUUUAAUGUUUGAUGUUCUAACGUGGACCCGUGAUCCGGGUUGCGGACAGUGUCUGGUGGGUAGUUUGACUGGGGCGGUCUCCUCCUAAAGAGUAACGGAGGAGCACGAAGGUUGGCUAAUCCUGGUCGGACAUCAGGAGGUUAGUGCAAUGGCAUAAGCCAGCUUGACUGCGAGCGUGACGGCGCGAGCAGGUGCGAAAGCAGGUCAUAGUGAUCCGGUGGUUCUGAAUGGAAGGGCCAUCGCUCAACGGAUAAAAGGUACUCCGGGGAUAACAGGCUGAUACCGCCCAAGAGUUCAUAUCGACGGCGGUGUUUGGCACCUCGAUGUCGGCUCAUCACAUCCUGGGGCUGAAGUAGGUCCCAAGGGUAUGGCUGUUCGCCAUUUAAAGUGGUACGCGAGCUGGGUUUAGAACGUCGUGAGACAGUUCGGUCCCUAUCUGCCGUGGGCGCUGGAGAACUGAGGGGGGCUGCUCCUAGUACGAGAGGACCGGAGUGGACGCAUCACUGGUGUUCGGGUUGUCAUGCCAAUGGCACUGCCCGGUAGCUAAAUGCGGAAGAGAUAAGUGCUGAAAGCAUCUAAGCACGAAACUUGCCCCGAGAUGAGUUCUCCCUGAGACUUUAGGUCUCCUGAAGGAACGUUGAAGACGACGACGUUGAUAGGCCGGGUGUGUAAGCGCAGCGAUGCGUUGAGCUAACCGGUACUAAUGAACCGUGAGGCUUAACCUU
RNAcentral lists this ribosomal RNA (3007 nucleotides) under Salmonella enterica. RNAcentral describes it as "23S ribosomal RNA". It matches the Rfam family "Bacterial large subunit ribosomal RNA". RNAcentral also lists the same sequence under 2 other names. Lineage: Bacteria; Pseudomonadati; Pseudomonadota; Gammaproteobacteria; Enterobacterales; Enterobacteriaceae. The record is from RNAcentral.